RNAcentral lists this ribosomal RNA (253 nucleotides) under uncultured bacterium. RNAcentral describes it as "partial 16S ribosomal RNA". It matches the Rfam family "Bacterial small subunit ribosomal RNA", at positions 524 to 776 of the family's 1533-position model. The record is from RNAcentral.
AACGUAGGAGGCGAGCGUUAUCCGGAUUUACUGGGCGUAAAGCGCGUGUAGGCGGCACGGCAAGUUGGAUGUGAAAGCUCCCGGCUUAACUGGGAGAGGUCGUUCAAAACUGCCGAGCUAGAGUGCGGGAGAGGGAGGUGGAAUUCCGGGUGUAGUGGUGAAAUGCGUAGAUAUCCGGAGGAACACCAGUGGCGAAAGCGGCCUCCUGGUCCGCAACUGACGCUCAGACGCGAAAGCUAGGGUAGCAAACGGG